RNAcentral lists this ribosomal RNA (461 nucleotides) under uncultured Sulfuricurvum sp. Its description in RNAcentral is "bacterial SSU rRNA". It matches the Rfam family "Bacterial small subunit ribosomal RNA", at positions 924 to 1382 of the family's 1533-position model. The record is from RNAcentral. Lineage: Bacteria; Pseudomonadati; Campylobacterota; Epsilonproteobacteria; Campylobacterales; Sulfurimonadaceae.
CACAAGUGGUGGAGCAUGUGGUUUAAUUCGAAGAUACACGAAGAACCUUACCUGGCCUUGACAUGGUAGGAACCCUUAAGAGAUUAGGGGGUGCUAGCUUGCUAGAACCUACACACAGGUGCUGCACGGCUGUCGUCAGCUCGUGUCGUGAGAUGUUGGGUUAAGUCCCGCAACGAGCGCAACCCUCGUCCUUAGUUGCUAACAGUUCGGCUGAGCACUCUAGGGAGACUGCCUUCGCAAGGAGGAGGAAGGUGAGGACGACGUCAAGUCAUCAUGGCCCUUACGGCCAGGGCUACACACGUGCUACAAUGGGGCGUACAGAGAGCUGCGAUACCGCGAGGUGGAGCCAAUCCCUUAAAGCCGAUCGUAGUCCGGAUCGUAGUCUGCAACUCGACUACGUGAAGUCGGAAUCGCUAGUAAUCGCAGAUCAGCAUGCUGCGGUGAAUGCGUUCCCGGGUCUU